GUCAAAAAAAAAGUCAAGCGCCAAAAAGAAGAAGGGACCUUCCCAGAGAUCAGGGGUCUCCAACCUUAGUAACUUUAACGUUUGUGGACUUCAACUCCCAGAGUUCCUCAUUCAGCAAAGCAGGCAGUCAAAGCAGGCUGUAAUCAGUAGCUGAGGAAAGUAUGGCACUGCCAGCCCGAAAGGAGCAGUAAUUAUAGGCAAGAUACUGACAAUGUGUUUGAUGCCUCUAAGUUUAAUUGAGGCAGUUAGAAAAAAUUAAAAGAUGCAUUUUUCUUUCUACAACGGAUACGUUCUCGUGAACUUCGCACAGAACUUAAAAGAAGACAAGACAAUGGUGAAUCCAACCUAUACAUCGACUACCGUGCUGAUUGCAUAAAAAAUAAAACCUACAAUCAAAAAAUCACCUCCAAACCCCCCAUCACCCAU
Ahaetulla prasina is the source of this 426-nucleotide long non-coding RNA. RefSeq lists it as uncharacterized. The transcript is spliced from 3 exons. NCBI's taxonomy places the organism in Eukaryota, Metazoa, Chordata, Lepidosauria, Squamata, Colubridae. The record is from RefSeq and is a predicted model, not a curated record.